This 965-nucleotide long non-coding RNA is filed under the name Homo sapiens (human). RNAcentral's name for it is "HSALNT0191713". Lineage: Eukaryota; Metazoa; Chordata; Mammalia; Primates; Hominidae. The record is from RNAcentral.
AGGUAAGACAAUGAAAUAUCCAGCCCAGCAGGACAGAAGAUUUGAGAUUUGGCUGGUUGGAAGUUUUAGAGCAGCUGUCAUAUUUGAAAGACUAAGUGCACAUCUCUAUAAAUGCACUUAGUCCAUCUAUCCCUUUUAAAGAAGUCACCACUGGUUAUGACAUAAACUUGAUGAAGAAUAUUGAAACUCAAAUUGCAGACAGAGUGUGUCUGACAAGGUUUUGGGGGUGAUGGUGGCAAGAGAAUGGCCAUUUUUAACAGAAAGAGGAUGCAGAUCUCAUUUUUAUUUGGAGGAUGCAGAUCACAUUUUUCUGUCUGUUCACAUCACAGGUAUGGACUAACAACACUCUAUGUGGCCUAAAAACCAACCAAAUCAAGUUUCUAUCAAGGCAGAAGAGGCAGGACAGCCAAGGAAUUGAGCAUAAAGGACACUCUACUGUGAGAGCUAGCCUUGAUUUGACAUCUGACAUGGACAGAACUUCCAGCAGGACCUUGAAUGUUAACGCAUUACAGAUGCCAGAACCUCUGUCUACCUAAGGCCCUCAGUGACUUUGUGAAGCAGAGUCUCACCUCCAGGCUGGAAACAUCCUGGACUAUUACAUGAACAAGAAAUAAACUUCACUGUGCUGCUACUUUUAGUAGGUCUUUUUGUUACUGCGAUGUAAAAUAACAAUUCUAGCUGAUGGAGCUAGGGAUCUGCAUGACGGAAACAGUGCUUUAACAAAAUGGCAUACCUGGGAUUAAAGAAGGAAUAAUAAAAUCACUAGCAUUUAUUGAGUGCCUAUUGAAUGCUUUAAAUAAUAACUUACAUAAUUCUUACUAGAUGCCAGGAACUGUUGCAUGCACUUUAUGAAUAUUAACUAAUGUUAGUUCUCUGAACUCUAUUAGGUGGGUACUACCAUUGUUCGCAUUUCACAGAUGGAUAAACAGAGGUAUAAAGUGUUGAAAUAACUUGCCCAAGAUCAC